CAUUAACGAGUUAGGGUCUCUCUGGCCCGACCUCCCAACCCUUUGUCUACUUGACCAUCGUUGCUUCGGCGAGCCCGUCCUCACGGACCGCCGGAGGGAUCUUUACUGGCCCUCUGGUCCGCGCUCGUCGGUAGCCCAACCUUUAAAAUCUUUAACUAAACGUGCCUUAAUCUAAGUACAAUUAUUAAAUAAAAGCAAAACUUUCAACAACGGAUCUCUUGGUUCUGGCAUCGAUGAAGAACGCAGCGAAAUGCGAUAAGUAAUGCGAAUUGCAGAAUUCCAGUGAGUCAUCGAAUCUUUGAACGCACAUUGCGCCCUUUGGUAUUCCGAAGGGCAUGCCUGUUCGAGCGUCAUUAUCACCCCUCAAGCCCUCGGCUUGGUGUUGGACGGUUUGGUGGAGGCCCCCUCGGGGGCUCCUGCCCCUCCCAAAGACAAUGACGGCGGCCUCGUUGGACCCCCGGUACACUGAGUUCUUCACGGGACACGUAUCGGACACAUGGGUUUACGGGACACGGUCUGCCUCCCCUCAGGGAGAAUCUUUCUAAGGUUGACCUCGGAUCAGGUAGGAGAUACCCGCUGAACUUAAGCAUAUCAAU
RNAcentral lists this ribosomal RNA (596 nucleotides) under uncultured fungus. Its description in RNAcentral is "eukaryotic LSU rRNA". The stretch from base 199 to 353 matches the Rfam family "5.8S ribosomal RNA". The record is from RNAcentral. Lineage: Eukaryota; Fungi.